CACGUAGGGUGCGAGCGUUGUCCGGAAUUAUUGGGCGUAAAGAGCUCGUAGGCGGUGUGUCGCGUCGGCCGUGAAAACCUGCAGCUUAACUGUGGGCUUGCGGUCGAUACGGGCAUCACUGGAGUUCGGCAGGGGAGACUGGAAUUCCUGGUGUAGCGGUGAAAUGCGCAGAUAUCAAGAGGAACACCGGUGGCGAAGGCGGGCCUCUGGGCCGAUACUGACGCUGAGGAGCGAAAGCGUGGGGAGCGAACAGG
This 254-nucleotide ribosomal RNA is filed under the name uncultured bacterium. RNAcentral's name for it is "partial 16S ribosomal RNA". It matches the Rfam family "Bacterial small subunit ribosomal RNA", at positions 524 to 776 of the family's 1533-position model. The record is from RNAcentral.